GGCCCGGUAGCUCAGUCGGGAGAGCAGAGGAUUGAACAUCCUUGUGGCGGCGGGGCGAUGCCGUCCCAGGCCACCA
RNAcentral lists this transfer RNA (76 nucleotides) under Comamonas sp. Its description in RNAcentral is "tRNA-Phe". Lineage: Bacteria; Pseudomonadati; Pseudomonadota; Betaproteobacteria; Burkholderiales; Comamonadaceae. The record is from RNAcentral.